Molecule: long non-coding RNA, 957 nt
Organism: Hyaena hyaena (striped hyena)
Lineage: Eukaryota; Metazoa; Chordata; Mammalia; Carnivora; Hyaenidae
Exons: 4
Source: RefSeq, a predicted model, not a curated record
AAGCGCACCAGCCCAGCCGGCUCCUGAACGAGGGCCGCCGGCUGUAGGGCUCCGCGUCGGGCUAGCGGUGCCUGGAAUGAGGCUCAGGCGCUGUGGUCCGGCUGGGAAGCCGCGUGGGGCUUAGGCCGCGAAGAGGGACCGGGGACCCGGCCGCCUGAGCCGCGCGGCGUAGGGAAACGGGGAGAGAGGGGGAGGGGGGCGCGGUGAGUCGUCCCCACCACCGUCCCGGCCGCCAGGCCCCCAGCUCUCGCCGGCGUUCUCUGUUCGUUUGUUGUUUGUUUUUUGUUUUUAAACAGUAGCAUCAAUCUAAACUAUUAACCCGUGUCAGCGAAACUAUCAAAGGUUCCUAUACUUGAGCUUCCAACUUCCAAGGAGUCAAAGCAUGUGUGGCUUACUGUCAACACAUUCCUGAAAUCAACAGCAACUUCUGAAAGCCCGCCUCUUCCCUGCUCACCGGUUCUCUAACAGGAUCACAACCACUGUCCCAAAAGCUCCAUUGUAGAGGUUGAAACUCAUGGAGAUGUUAGACAUUCUCAGAGACCAGUCCAUCAUCUGCCACCGGCUGGACCCAGCGGACAUUAGUGCUGCCUGCCAUCCAAGAAUCUGUGAUGGGCACUGAUUACUUGCCCCAGAGCUCUACCCCCAUUACCAACCCUGCUUUCUGCUUCAGCUCAUUCUUUUUCGCCUGGAAGAGGCCUUCACGGUGCCCAGCUCUUAACUCCAAGCAGCUUAAGGAAGUCAACUGGGAAGAGCGGCUUGGCAGGGAAACGGCAGCAAUCUAGAGCAGAGCAGCAGUGUGGGGCUUGAGUUAUUUGAAAACAGCCAAGUCAUAUUCUUCUGAUUCUCAGUGGAUGUUAAACGUGCACACACACAUGAUUUCCCCUAUCAGGCCAGGGAGCAGAGCCAGGACAUUGGGACAUAGUUGGAACAUUGCUUAUGAGCAUGCUGCCUCUGACC